CCUGAAAUGGGUUCGUUGGGGCCGACCACGCAGU
This 34-nucleotide small RNA is filed under the name Bombyx mori (domestic silkworm). Its description in RNAcentral is "ovarian small RNA-2615". The record is from RNAcentral. Lineage: Eukaryota; Metazoa; Arthropoda; Insecta; Lepidoptera; Bombycidae.